This 490-nucleotide ribosomal RNA is filed under the name uncultured bacterium. Its description in RNAcentral is "partial 16S ribosomal RNA". It matches the Rfam family "Bacterial small subunit ribosomal RNA", at positions 30 to 507 of the family's 1533-position model. The record is from RNAcentral.
AUUGAACGCUGGCGGCAGGCCUAACACAUGCAAGUCGAACGGUAACAGGAAACAGCUUGCUGUUUCGCUGACGAGUGGCGGACGGGUGAGUAAUGUCUGGGAAACUGCCUGAUGGAGGGGGAUAACUACUGGAAACGGUAGCUAAUACCGCAUAACGUCGCAAGACCAAAGAGGGGGACCUUCGGGCCUCUUGCCAUCGGAUGUGUCCAGAUGGGAUUAGCUAGUAGGUGGGGUAACGGCUCACCUAGGCGACGAUCCCUAGCUGGUCUGAGAGGAUGACCAGCCACACUGGAACUGAGACACGGUCCAGACUCCUACGGGAGGCAGCAGUGGGGAAUAUUGCACAAUGGGCGCAAGCCUGAUGCAGCCAUGCCGCGUGUAUGAAGAAGGCCUUCGGGUUGUAAAGUACUUUCAGCGGGGAGGAAGGGAGUAAAGUUAAUACCUUUGCUCAUUGACGUUACCCGCAGAAGAAGCACCGGCUAACUCCGUG